UCCAGUGUGGCCUAAUGGUUUGUGUCUUGGACUAUGGCUCUGGAGACCAGGGUUCGAUUCCCAGCUCAGCCA
Molecule: non-coding RNA, 72 nt
Organism: Phrynosoma platyrhinos (Desert horned lizard)
Lineage: Eukaryota; Metazoa; Chordata; Lepidosauria; Squamata; Phrynosomatidae
Source: the annotation of a GenBank genome assembly